UUCUUUUGAAAGCAGGACGAGAGGAGGGCCACUUCUGAAACUGCGGGCAUAAUGGUGCCAUUCCUUAUCGCAGAUCUGACAGUGCCCGGAGCCUGCUCGCCCCCCUCUCACUCGCUCGUUCUCCGCUCCUGACUAACUACUGUUUUGGAUUGGCCUCUGGCCUCGGUCUCCUGGAAUCUUCUUUUGGAAGUCAAGGGCCAAGUUUUUAUCAUCCUUACAGAGACAGCCUUUCUUUGGCGAUAGCGGCGAAGCAGUAGGCUGCUCAAGGGCCAUUUCUAUCACCGGACCUCAUCUGUCAUGGCAUCACUCUCAGAGGCUAAGAGCUCAUUGAAGUGCUCCUUUCAAGAUGUCAAGGGCAAGCAGCUGGGCUUGGGGGAAGUGCAGAGAUAAUUCUGCUGAGCCUUUGUUUCCCAGCCCGUCUGGCAAUCACCAGCACUGCGGCAACGACAGGAAAAGCCUUCAACGCCCACUUCCUUGCCACACAAGAGCCGCAUUUCUGAACUGGGUCAGCCGGGUGAGGCGUGGCCACCUGUAUGGACCUCCAGGCACGUGAAGCCACUCUUGCCGAAGACGUUUGGUUGGAGAAUUUUGGUUUUGUGGCUGUGUACACGUUCUGUCAUUGCAUGGCCUGUGAUGCAGAGAGCAUAUCUCUUCCCCCUGAAAAGCCUUGGCAGAGAGCUUUCAUUUUGGAGGAAGCUUAUUUCCGGGCAACCAUCUCCAGGGAAAAUGAGUGUGAGGCAGUAGGCAGUAAACAACAUCGUAUCCCAUAGGGACGGAGGUGACCCGAAUGAGCUCCGGAGCGAGUCCGUGAUAGCGGCAGAAUCAUUACAGUGUGUGCGCCUGCCCAAGUCCAUGUGUAAUUGUAAUGUAUAAUUAAUACAGAGCUAAAAUUAAACUCCUGGGUGAAAGAGACGGGCAGGCUGAGGAGGCUGAGGAAUAUCAACCUCUAAGAUACAGCUUGUUUAUGACAAAUGUAGGAUUGGGUUGCUCUUCAUUUCAGUGGGCGUGUGCCUGUGUUUUGGGUUGCUCUUUGCUAAUAUUUCAGCCUUGAGGAAUAAGGAUUCCACAGUUAUCCUCUUCCCAUUCCUUCCAACCCCAGGAAGAAACUCUCUUUCAAGUAACCUUGUCCUCAGGCCACUGAAGUACUUUGGUUUUUCCAGAUAAUUUUUCUCAAGUGACGAAACUCACAAGCAAACAGAGACAGGACACGCCCCUUUCCUGGUGCCAUUCCUUGGUGCGCUCUUGACCCUGACUUUGCCAUGAGUUUGCAGGCGUGUCACCUGAGGAGACUUCCAGCUCUCGCUCGUGAAUACGGCUCACAGCGCCCUCCACCAUUCUUUGGACCUUGAAGAGAGGUGACCACUGGUUGCCAUUGUGGCCCUUGAUGGUUAAUUAAAGUUUGAUUCUGGGAGCAGCGGUUUUUUUGAAACAACUCUCAGGGUAACUAAGCUUACUUCUACUUUUCAAACCCAGACUUCACGUUAGCCUCUGCAUUCUAUUUGUGCUAAAUGUGCAGUACUGAAGAAUUUAGAGAGAAGACAGUUUUUACUUCUCUUCUUUCCUAGUUGAUUGUUUGAAACUCACUGACAGGCUUGAGCUGAACCAUCGUCUGGUUCCGAAUUCCCACUUCAGCGUUGUCCACACGCGGACCCUCUGUUCCUGCUUUUAGCUGGAUGCUCUACCAUUUUCUACCAGAGGUUAUAGUCACACAAAUUCUGCACGCCUGUUUUCACUCCUAGAUCUUGUUAUCCCUUGUUUGGGCAAAACUUAAUAAUGUCUCACUCCUGGUUUAAAAGAAGUUUUCUACUGAAGCCCCAGAGCAUUUUUUAAUGUGAUAUAGUACAUACUAGACACAGUGUCAUAGCAUCUUAUUCCUAAAAUUCCAAUGAGAUGAGAAAGAGAGACAGAGACGGGGAUAUAUCAUUUGAUCCAAAGUAACUGUCUUCUGUAACAUCAGCAGCAAGUAUUAGCCAGUGAUUUUCACCCCCUCUUGUCUGUGUUCCACCUUUGUCACUGUGAUACUGAGAGAGCUAUUAAACAACUCUGACCCUAAGGCUCCUUAAAUAGGACGACAGAAGCAAAGUUUAGUCCUCACUGGGUGUUGGGUUAGCACAGAACCCAACACAAAUGAAAAUCUUCAAUUUACUUUCUCUUUUAUUCCUUUCAUUGAGUAGGAAAACCAACACUGAACAUGUGAAAAAAAAGUAUCCUGAAAUUGAUCAGAGCAUAUAUUUAACUGGCUGGAAAAUCCAUUUGACAAAAUUGCUUUGACUCUCUCAUCAAAUUUCAUGGUGUUGAAUUAUUAAUU
This is a long non-coding RNA of Bos taurus (domestic cattle), 2308 nucleotides long. The record is from Ensembl. NCBI's taxonomy places the organism in Eukaryota, Metazoa, Chordata, Mammalia, Artiodactyla, Bovidae.